UCUUUCCCGAGUUUACAAACUCCCAAACCCUUUGUGAACCUUACCUAUCGUUGCUUCGGCGGGAUCGCCCCGGCGCCUUCGGGCCCGGAACCAGGCGCCCGCCGGAGGCCCCAAACUCUUAUGUCUUUAGUGGUUUUCUCCUCUGAGUGACACAUAAACAAAUAAAUAAAAACUUUCAACAACGGAUCUCUUGGUUCUGGCAUCGAUGAAGAACGCAGCGAAAUGCGAUAAGUAAUGUGAAUUGCAGAAUUCAGUGAAUCAUCGAAUCUUUGAACGCACAUUGCGCCCGCCAGUAUUCUGGCGGGCAUGCCUGUUCGAGCGUCAUUUCAACCCUCAGGCCCCCAGUGCCUGGCGUUGGGGAUCGGCGUGGGCGGCGACGGCUCUCCGGAGCCCGAGCCAAUGCCUGCCGGCCCCGAAAUUCAGUGGCGGUCUCGCUGUAGUCCCCCUCUGCGUAGUAGCACAACUCGCAUUGGAGCUCGGCGGUGGCCAUGCCGUAAAACACCCCACUUCUGAAAGUUGACCUCGGAUCAGGUAGGAAUACCCGCUGAACUUAAGCAUAUCAAUAA
This 566-nucleotide small RNA is filed under the name Paramyrothecium roridum. RNAcentral describes it as "eukaryotic LSU rRNA". The stretch from base 171 to 324 matches the Rfam family "5.8S ribosomal RNA". The record is from RNAcentral. Lineage: Eukaryota; Fungi; Ascomycota; Sordariomycetes; Hypocreales; Stachybotryaceae.